AGAGUUUGAUCCUGGCUCAGGACGAACGCUGGCGGCGUGCCUAACACAUGCAAGUCGACGGGGUAGAGAGCUUUCGGUUUUCUACUUAGUGGCGAACGGGUGAGUAACGCGUGAGAAACCUGCCUUUCAGUGGGGGACAACAGUUGGAAACGACUGCUAAUACCGCAUAAUGUUUCGAGAGGGCAUCCUCUUGAAACCAAAGCUUUAUGUGCUGAAAGAUGGUCUCGCGUCUGAUUAGCUAGUUGGUGAGGUAACGGCUCACCAAGGCGACGAUCAGUAGCCGGUCUGAGAGGAUGAACGGCCACAUUGGGACUGAGAUACGGCCCAGACUCCUACGGGAGGCAGCAGUGGGGAAUAUUGGGCAAUGGGGGAAACCCUGACCCAGCAACGCCGCGUGAAGGAAGAAGGCCUACGGGUUGUAAACUUCUUUUACCAGGGACGAAUUUUGACCGGUACCUGGAGAAAAAGCAACGGCUAACUACGUGCCAGCAGCCGCGGU
This 499-nucleotide ribosomal RNA is filed under the name uncultured bacterium. RNAcentral describes it as "bacterial SSU rRNA". It matches the Rfam family "Bacterial small subunit ribosomal RNA", at positions 8 to 521 of the family's 1533-position model. The record is from RNAcentral.